Molecule: ribosomal RNA, 406 nt
Filed under: uncultured bacterium
Lineage: Bacteria
Description: partial 16S ribosomal RNA
Rfam family: Bacterial small subunit ribosomal RNA
Source: RNAcentral
AUUGAACGCUGGCGGCAGGCCUAACACAUGCAAGUCGAACGAGUGGCGGACGGGUGCUUAAUGGCUGGGACACUGCCUGCUGGAGGGGGAUAACUACUGGAAACGGUAGCUAAUACCGCAUACCAUCGGAUGUGCCCAGAUGGGAUUAGCUAGUCGGUGGGGUAACGGCUCACCUAGGCGACGAUCCCUAGCUGGUCUGAGAGGAUGACCAGCAACACUGGAACGGAGAAACGGUCCAGACUCCUACGGGAGGCAGCAGUGGGGAAUAGUGCACAAUGGGCGCAAGCCUGAUGCAGCCAUGCCGCGUGUAUGAAGAAGGCCGUCGGGUUGUAAAGUACUUUCAGCGGGGAGGCGUUACCCGCAGAAGAAGCACCGGCUAACUCCGUGCCAGCAGCCGCGGUAAUAC